RNA transcript from Varanus komodoensis (Komodo dragon), 10852 nucleotides. It is a transcript of the gene named casein kinase 1 delta, with no coding region annotated. The record is from RefSeq and is a predicted model, not a curated record. NCBI's taxonomy places the organism in Eukaryota, Metazoa, Chordata, Lepidosauria, Squamata, Varanidae. The transcript has 10 exons.
GACUUAGCUCAGCUCAGGGGGGAUCCGGGUCUCGGGGAAUCUGCGUCCAUCCUCCCCGCCCGGGGUGCGCUGUCGCCCCCGAACCCCUCCGGUGUCGAGAGACGGCUCUAAGGGCGCGAUGGUCGCUGGCAUUCCCCUGCUCUGAGUCAGGGUCCUCACGACUGGGUUGGGUCCAAUCGAGCUGCCUCGAUGGAGUUGAGAGUCGGGAACCGGUACCGGCUUGGCCGAAAGAUCGGGAGCGGCUCCUUCGGGGACAUUUACCUCGGUACUGAUAUAGCUGCUGGAGAAGAGGUUGCCAUCAAGUUGGAAUGUGUGAAAACCAAACAUCCUCAACUUCAUAUAGAGAGCAAGAUUUACAAGAUGAUGCAGGGUGGAGUGGGCAUUCCCACAAUCAAAUGGUGUGGUGCCGAAGGUGACUACAAUGUAAUGGUGAUGGAGUUGUUAGGACCAAGCCUUGAAGAUCUCUUUAACUUCUGUUCAAGGAAAUUCAGCCUCAAGACAGUCCUUUUGCUUGCUGACCAAAUGAUUAGCCGAAUAGAAUAUAUUCAUUCGAAGAACUUCAUUCACCGAGAUGUAAAGCCUGAUAACUUCCUGAUGGGUUUAGGCAAGAAAGGCAAUCUUGUCUACAUCAUAGAUUUUGGGCUGGCCAAGAAAUACCGAGAUGCUCGAACCCACCAACACAUUCCAUAUCGUGAAAAUAAAAACUUAACAGGAACUGCCCGCUAUGCCUCCAUCAAUACUCAUCUUGGAAUUGAACAAUCUCGCAGAGAUGACUUGGAGUCCUUGGGCUAUGUACUCAUGUAUUUUAACCUGGGCUCCCUCCCCUGGCAGGGAUUGAAGGCAGCUACAAAGAGACAGAAAUAUGAACGCAUCAGUGAAAAGAAAAUGUCUACACCCAUUGAGGUUUUGUGUAAAGGAUACCCUUCUGAGUUUGCAACAUACCUGAAUUUCUGCCGCUCGUUGCGUUUUGAUGAUAAACCGGAUUAUUCGUAUCUAAGGCAAUUAUUCCGAAACCUCUUCCACAGACAAGGCUUCUCCUAUGACUAUGUAUUUGACUGGAACAUGCUCAAAUUCGGUGCAAGUCGUGCAGUUGAAGACGUUGAGCGUGAACGGAGAGAGAGAGAGGAAAGAAUGAGACAUACACGAAAUCCAGGUGUUCGUGGCUUACCUUCUACUGCCUCUGGCAGGCUGAGGGGGACACAAGAUGUAGCUCCACCAACCCCUCUUACCCCAACUUCACAUACUGCAAACACAUCUCCUCGGCCAGUGUCUGGAAUGGAACGAGAACGGAAAGUGAGUAUGCGAUUGCAUCGUGGGGCCCCAGUCAAUAUUUCCUCAUCUGAUUUAACAGGCCGACAAGAUACCUCGCGCAUGUCAACCUCACAGGGUACAGACUUUUAACAGCCAUGGAAAUUUCAGUGACUUUUUUCUAUACUAUGUGAAUCAUCAACUGACUUAAAGGUCACGUUUUUUUCUAACCACUGCAGAUCUCGGAGGCCUUGUGCAAAUGAAUGAAUACUAGUAUUUAUUACGUUUCAUGGUGAAGAAGGAUCAAUAAGUGCUCUUCUUUCAUGCUUAGUCCAGACUCAAUUUGACUCAAUGGACAAUAUCAACUGUAGCCAUAGUCAUCCAUCAUUUGUUCUGCUGUGUCUAGUGGCAAAAAUGUACCCGCUCAGAGAUCUUGACAUAGCUUGGGCUGUGUUUCCAAAUAAAUUGCUGUUUAUGGGAAGUAGUUACCAGCUUCUGCCUGGUAUAAGCAAAUGUCUGUAAUCAUAUCUGGAAUACAAAGAAUGUACUUAAAGCUGCUGUAGGUCUGAAAUUACUAUGCUUGAUGAAACAAAAGGUUGGAAGAGGAAUAAGCCUGUCUUAUCUGUCUUGCAUUCUUUGUAUUUAUUAGGUGUUAUUCAUGCAACUUUGAUUUUAUUUUUUGGCUCUAAAGUUUGAAAAGUUAAAAAUGUUUACCAAGCCAGCUCUGGGGAUUCAUCCUUGUCAAAAGUAUGAAACACAACUAGAUUAGCUGUUGUGAAUGAAUCUGUACAUGCAGUAACCAGGUUUCUUGACUGCAGGACCACUUAUUGUAACUUUUCCCCAUAGCUUGGACUGUUUUUUGUAAUGUAUUUCAAACAUUCACAAUAUUUAGUUGCAGGCAGUAUAGGUCACAUAAUAGGCUAAACUAUAAAUGAUUAUUGUAUAAAUAGGAUAAUGUUUGGAAGAUAAACAUAUUUCCUGCAUGGUUGUGAAUUGGGACAACAUUCAACAUUUUUUUGUUGAUCACUUUUUGUUAGACUUUCCAAAGAGAGACGGAAGAAAUUAUGAGUGGUGCCUCAAGAGAUGCUGUUAACUGAUUUUGGUAGCAAGGUUUCUUAACCUCGUUGUGCAUUUCCUUACAAUGUAUAUGUGGCAUGCAACUUAAUCGAGCUGAGAUCUGUUGCAAGUCCUGUGCAACUUUACAAAAUUGGACUUUCUCAUAUGGAAGUUAAUAGCAGGGAAUUAAGGAUCUCAGGAAGCAGUUCUCUGGAGUAUGUGAAAGUCAGAUGUUUUAAGGAACUAAGAGUUACAGUUUAGAAAUGUUCAGUCAAAAAACCUGUGAGGUGGGCUAUGUUGAAGAGAGAAUUAUGGAUGAAAGAAAGCAUAAAGAAAUGUGUUGAUUCCAAUUAAAUAAGUUUAGCUGCUGCAGUUACAGUCAAGCAAGACUUUUAUGCUAAGGCUUCAGUGCUCACACUCCAUAGGUUUAAGAUCUAUUGAACACAGUGGGACUUGCUUUUAAAUGUGCAAAAAAUGCUUUUAUUUCCUGCUAAGAACAAAUAAAACCUCAUUUUUUGAUGAUGCCACAUGAAUGCUUUUGUCUGUGACCAGUGGUCACUGAUUAAAGUAUGUUUUUUUGAAUGUAGCUUGAAGUACUUGAAUUGCUAGUCUUGCUAAUUGCUAGAAUUGCUAAGAAAUGGUUAGUACACUUAGUUGUCUCUGAUAAAAAGAGACAUAUUUUAGGGAAACAGCAGUCCUUAAUUUGGAAGAAUAUGGAGUCUCAAGGUUUCAGCACAAUGGAACUUAAAUUGUCACUGAAUGCAAACUCUUUCAGUAAAUUGCUUAUUCUAAGGCUGCAGAGUGAAACAGGUAUUUCAAUGGGGCAAAUAAUACUUUUCCUGCAAACCUAAAGUCUGCACUUAAUAUGCAUUAUACUGGUGACAGAUAUAUUUGCAUGCCAUUCUCCUGCUUGUCUUGACAAUUUUAAGAAUUCACUUUACAAGCAGAUGCGCUACUGGCCUUCUGAAUAAGUUUCAGAAACUUGCUCCCUUUGUUUCUACCCAUGAAAUACUCCAGAAAAUGAGCAAAUGUUCUAUUAAACAUCUUAAUUCACUGUAUACUUCCCAAAGUUUCAAUGGGUAAGAUGGUUCUCCUGGUUCCUAACUGGGGUCUCACUUUGAAUGCUGGGGUGGAGUAUGUCCUAGGGUUAUAUUAGAGGCUUGCUAAUGUUAAAGAAAUAAAACCUUGUGAGGUUUUGAGACUCUUUCUUUUAUCCUUCCAUCUGUAAAGCCAAGCUCCUGCAGACCCCGAAGGAAGAGGAAGAAAGUGCGUAUUUUAACCACUUAAAUUACCUGGAAUAAAGCACUUUUAGACUCUGAGAUGUAAUUGCUUGCUUUCCUUUACACUGGGGCAAUUGAAGCCCAGCAGGCUGUACUGUGUCAAAUAUCUGCAAAUCUUACUGCUUCUGUCAUAGAAUUUAGAAAGUGCUGAACUUAAAUCCAGUAAUGUGAUAGAGCAAUAUCUCACUUACCUAGGGAGUCUUAAUAUAUGGGGAAUGUUUGCAUAGCAUGCUUGGUAGGAGUAGGAAGCAAAUAAUGGUAGAAUUAUUAGUAAUUCCCUCCCGCCCCGCCCCCAUGACUAUUUUAAUAUCUGAUGGAACAUGAAGGUUGCACUUUAGAGGAAAUAUGUGAUGCAAGUUAUUGUACAGAUCAGGUAGAAUUUGUCAAGGAUUUGAGUGGUUUCAUAUGAUUUGUGUUUAACUGGAGAGAUAUCUAUCAUUCUGAAGCCCCAUGAUGGAAAUAGCUGUAUUCCAAGGAACAGUAUUCCUCAUGUGCACAAAGGGUCCUCUGUUUUGUUUUUUCUGUUAAGAAAAGAGCAAUCUGCUCCUCCUCCUUUCCCCAGUCAUAUAUGAAUAGAUAAUAGUGAUAUCAGCUCAUAAAUUUAGUGCAGGUAUUUUUUAAGGAUUGAUUAAAAGUUAAGUUAAUUAACCCUUCUGUUAGUUCAGAUAUGUACUCUACAUCAAUUUAGGUUUCAGUCCCUGAAAGUAUGCAUUAUUUAAAUUAAUGACUUAGAAAUGUAUGAGAUUCAGAUGUUUAAAAAUAUUUGAGGCUGAGAAGAUUGCUUCUCUUUUUGUCCAGAUUAGUUUGGUUUCAGAGGGAUACCUUCUGUCCAAAAAAGCAUUUCAGAGGUUAACUAAUUUGUCAAUUCUUCUUAUGAAGUAAAUGGGCUAUCUAAUGGAAAUCUGACUAAUUGAAGCUUGAGAAUGCCAAAUAAUGAGAUUGCAAGUUUAUAAAUAUCUAGCAGCUCCAUUCGUUGCCAGCUGCAUUGCUACUCUUGCUCCUUUGACUUACUAGCCCCAGGGGUACAAUAUAAUAAGCCUUGUCUUGUGUUCAUAUUUGUAAGAACGAGCGAAGGUUUAGAUCGCUGAAAUAAACCCAAAAAGACACAUUUCCUAUGUCUUUAUAAUUCAUGUUGUCUUCCAUUGACUUUCAUCCUGUCUAGUGCAGCUUGGAUUCUGUUCCAGUCCAGUAGCACCAAAGUUCCUUCAUAUGUUGACUUUAACUGCUACAAAAUGGUUUAUCUUCAUAUAUAGUCUUAUCCCAAUUAUUUAAUUCCUUCUAGUAAAGAGCAGUCAGGGUCAAGAAGUCCUGACAACUUUCUGUUAGAAGAAUGUGUAACACAUUGUCUAAAAACAGCAAACAAAAUAGCUGUUUCAUAGAGCUAUCUAAUAUAAAUUGGGCCAGUGUGGUACAGUGGUUAAAAAUGCAGGACUAGGACUCAGCAGAUCCGGGUUCUAGUCCUCUCUCAACCAUGGAGCUAGCUGGCUCCCUUGGAGCCAGUCACAGACGCUCAGCCCAGCCCACCACACAUGGUUACUGUUAUGAGAGGAAGAAUUAUGCAUGCCACCUUGUGUUCUCUGACAGGAUAUAAACACCUUAUACUCUAAUACACUGGCUAUUUUUGAACGGUCACAGUGGCUUCUUCUCCUCAUCUCAGCAUGCCAGCUGUACACUGGAUGAUUUCCACAAUUAUCCUCCUCAGUGUGGCUUCUCAUGGCUUGUUCUAGCUUCUGGAGUGCUUUCAAAGCCACCACAUCCCUUGCCAGAUUUAGAUGGCAUGCAAAAUGGUGCUCUGCAAAGGUAAUUAUGGAAAUUGUAUGGUGUGCAACUGGCACCCGAGGACCAGGUGAAGGAAGCCGCUGAGGCUACUUUUCCACCAGUGAUGGUGUGAACCUGGCCACUUGUUACAGAGACAGUGCAGUGUGCAGAAACAGGAACAAGGAGGGACCUGCGAACUGGCUCACUCUUCCCUCCUGCAUGGCUAGGAGAACUUUUAAAGUUCUUACUUUUGGGCUGUUGUGCUUGUUAAGCCUAGCUAUGGUCAGUUUCAAAUCAGCUUGCAAGUAUCGUUUCUGAACCUGACUUGUUGAAAUUAACCAUAGUUAGUGGGUCCAAGUGACCCUGUGAAUUGUGAUUAACUGAAAAUAGAGGCAGAAACUUGAGGCUUAUAUACGUCACACAAAAUUGUUAUAAAGCAACCUAAAUGACCCUCUUGAUAUCAUAUACACAACUAUAUGAGAAUUAAUUUCUAUUCUUAAGAAUGUUGCACAAGGGAAUAAAGAUUAAAAGGUUGUGAUCAACCAUACUGCUACACUGGUUUACACAUUUCCCAGUUGGAUAUGUGUAGUACAAUGAUAACUCCUGCCAGCCAGCAAGGGAGGAAGGUCGUCACUGAGGCCAAAAACAAACCAUGGAUGGACUAGUUCUUGGUAGGACACCAUGUAGCAAAAGUAUGGUUCCUAUGUAUCUGUGUGCUGAUACACAGAAAAGAAUAAUUAAGGUUUUCACUGCCUUUCUCUCUCUGAGGUUUUGGCCAAAGAAGGCUAAAGAGUAAAUCUUUUUACAGUUGCUUUUAGUAUUUCCCUCUUAAAACAGUGGUUUGAGUGGUUACAAUUCUUUCUGUAGGUGGAAUACAGCCUGUUUGCUGUAUUUACAGUAUUCAUGGUUGCCUGCAUUGUUGCUAGGAAGUCUCAGGGUAAUUUGCAUAGUUCUGACCUAAACAAAUUGGCGUCUUCCAAAGAUCUAAAGCACCAACAUGAUUAAAUUGUUUGAAUUCCUACCCUGGCACCCUAGUUCAUAAUCUUUCAACAUUAAAUACCAGCAAUAUAUUGCAGUCAACAUUAACUAUUUCCUUGGUGACCACUCUAGCAGGUACACCAGGGGAUGGGGUGUGAGUGGAGCCUACGGGGAGCUGAGAAUUUGAAGUUGCUGCAGAGAAAGAAGUGCAGAAGGAAGAGCAAAUGAGACAAAAGGCAGAAGAUGAUGAAGAAAGAAGAGUUGUUAAAGAGCAGAGAAGUGGAUUUUAAAAGGACAUUUUACUUCUCAAAUGUUUGAAUUGUGCUGUUUAGUAUUAAAUAAAACUGCUAAACCUCUAGGUCCUGUACACUGGCCAGAUUCUUGUUUGGCCUCUGCUUAAACUUUCUUCCAGUACAAACAGUAGGUGACUGUGGACCAAGUGAAAUAAUUCUACUUUUAUAUUCUCACCAUGUAAGCGGUCAAAUGCAGCAUCACUGAGAAUUGGUGGGAUGAUUCAUGCCAAUUUUGCUACAGUUACAGAGCCUUUAAGUAUUCACUAAUUUCAUUUCUACACCUGCCUAGCAGCCAAAGUUCUCUGGGAGGUAGUGUGGAUGAGAGCCUUCUGUGGAGGUGAAUAGAAUAAAUGCCAGGUUGCAGCCCAAAACUGUAGUCAACAGUCUUUACCAGUUUUGGAGUUGUAAUGGUGGGCAGUGAGCAGGAACAAUAAAUUUGGUCAGAGGCAAUCACAGAUAUUGAACUAAAUUCAGGAAUGGAGCCGGGGUGGGAGGGCUGUAUUGUCUCACUCAGUAUUUCUAGUGCUUCUGUAUGUAUGCUCUUGACAGUUCCCUUUAGCUUGCAUUAUUUUGUACAGGUUGAUUCAAACUUGAGCACUUUUUCAUGCCCUCCAAUUGCUAUAAUCUUCCUUCAUGCUACUGGCAAACACACAAGAUUUCACUUAAUAUGUAUUUAAGAUUGGUGUUCUUUUCCUUUCUUAAGAGCUGCAUUUUGUACUUCGUGUUGGUAGGAAUUAGUUACAAAAUUGGUGAUAUACUUGAUAAUCAUUUUACACAGAUAUUAGUUUAACUAAUAGUAUGGUGUCUUUUGCAGACUUAGAGAGAAUGUUGGUUUCCAAACUUAGCCAUCUUCUGCAGUGUGAGAGAGUAUUAUUUUGUUACCCCUCUAGCAGAAGACCAUUGAAAUUUCCUUUCAUUUCUAGAUGAGAUACACUGUUCACAAAUGUUUUCUAUGCAAGUUUCCUGAACUUAGCAUUUCCUGCCAUGUGCUGGAUGUUUUUAAGACUUAAAAUCUGCACAUUUCAUUCCAUGGUAGCAGUAGGGAGUGAUUGGCAUUCAGAAAUGAAGAUGAUUUUUUAUUGUUUUAUUUUUUUGCUUAUUUAAGGUCCACCCCCUAGGAAUUGGUUUUGAGGUUUGCAUGUAUGUGACCAUGUAUUGUAUGCAGCUUUGUGCAUAAAGGAAAGGGGACAUUAAGUAUGAAUGCAGGGGCUGGAUAAUAAUACAUGCUUAUUCAACCAGACUGGAUGGAAAAACCUUGGUUAACAUUAAAAUACAUCCUACAUCAAAUCUGCUUCAUUGGAAGAAUGAGGUCCUUUAGAACAACCAGCAACACACAGAAAAAUGUGAAGCUUUUAGGUCUGCAAGAUGAUCAUGGUUAGGGGGUUGUAUGUGCAUAAACAUACACUGUCUUGGAUGAUACAGAAGUAAAAGGAUCGCCGCUUCAGGGAAUGCAUCAGACUUGCAUUUGAUGAUGAAGCAGGCACUGCCCAUGGAGGCUUAUGACUUUGCUACUUAGUGAAGAGCUCUCUCUCUGCAGUGCUGUCUAUGUACGUGUAAAUUGCAGCUGGAGGGCUCCAGGCUGAGCUUGUGCACAGUUGAGUUCUUAGGAGCAAGGAGGGUUUUCUCCAGUUACAGAAAGAUCAAAGCCUUCUGCAAAGCAGUCACCAUGAUAAAGGAAAAUGUUUUUUUGAAUCAGUGGCCUGGGCUGGCAAUAAACAGUGGAAGAGAUCAUUUUGUGCUGAGUCAGUCAGUGCAACAAAAUGCACCUCCAAAAGGCUGUUGGUUGCCACCUGUUGCUGGAGCAGCCUUCCUGCUGCAUCAGUCGUCAAAGCUUGUCCCAUCAGGCCGGGAAGUGAGUCUCUCAGCUUCUGGCAUGGGCGGGGGGCUCUUGAUCAGCGGGCUCGUGCCUGCAGGGCAUCUCAGAGGAGGACCAUUCCAAAUUUAAGAGUACCUCUAGCUGGAAUCUCAGUUUGAAGUUAUAUAUGGGCCAGUAGAAUUGUUACAAAUGGCUGUCUUUUCCCCCCACCUCAGAAUAGCAUUCCCUUCGACCACCAUGGCAAGUAGCUGCUCGUCUCCUCCUCCUUGGAAAGCAGCCCUGGAUUCCUGCUCUGGCGACGACCAGCGUUCUCCAGUCUGCUGUGCAUCGGUGAAAUGUUGCCACUGAGGGGCAGAUAAUGCAUGGCUGAUCUCCUAUGUUACCAAUGGCUUUUACUAGCAAAACUACUCCAAACUAGAGCAGAAGAAGAUAUUACAACUGGAUCUCUCCUUGUCACUUACUAAAGAUACUUGCAGGAACAUGGACAGAAUCCAGCAGCUGCCACUACACAAGAGGCUUUGGCCAGAACCUGAUAACCUUACGUGAACUCUAGCAACAGGGCUGGAAAAGGAAGAGACGGUUUACAGCAUUAACCGCCUGUUAUUUAAUAGCCAUUUCAGUUUUCCCUCCACAGGCGGCAGCCUUUAUCCCCUUUUUAUUGUUCUACUGUAACUAUAGAUCUUUUACUUGGUUUAAGGAAGUUUUGUAUUCAUUUUGCUAAUAUUAUUGGCUUAAAUCUUUCUGUAAAGAACUGUCUUGCUUUUGUCUGAUUUAAAACCUGUGUAGAAAUGUGAACAAUCCUGAAGCUUAAAACAAAACAAAAAAAGACUUGAAAUUUCUUGUAAACUUAAGUUCAGGCAGGGAAUGUGUAAAUGAAUUAGAACAGCCUGCUUUUAUUUUACACUGUUUACUUUUGUACGAUCCCGUUUUACAGAGGAGGAGAAGGGUGUUCUCAAGGGUUUUUUUUUAAACAAUUUUAUUUUGUUUUGGCUGUCUUGUUCUUCCAGUUUUUUUUAAUAAAAGUUCCAUGCAGUGCCGAAACAUAUGUAUUUUUUAAAUGUUCAUUCAUCUCUAGUACUGUCCGAUGAAGAGCAGAGGAUACUUAGAAGAAAAAUAAGUGUACCCAGUAGAGAUGAUAAGAAUAGUCUAUAGACUGAAGGUCAGAAGUCAAAGCUAUAAUAUAACCUAUUCAGGAAGGUUUUAUUAUUGAAUGUACACUAUCCUUUAUUCACAGAAUAGGAUUUCAUGGGACAGCUUCUGCCAUUCCUAUUUGGGUUUUGGUACAGAUGCCAGUAACAUCUGAAUGGUGCCCCUGCAGUGUUAUGGUAGAUGCAUUUCUCUUAAGUACAUGGAGAACAGCAAGUACUUACAGCCUGCUGCAUUAUGCCAAGGCUCAGAGCUAUAACAAAAUGUUCCUGCUGCAAGAUGCCGAGACUUGUGACUAUUCAAACUUGUUGAAUUGUUCAAUAUUUAAUGUGCAAGUCUGGAACAGCUGGCUUUCAGCUGAAGAUAUUUACUUCUAUAAUGGCCAAAACAUUUACCUUAGCAAAUGUGUGCUAGUUUUAAAUAUGGAAGAAUAUUUGUUUUCUUGAGCAAUAUAUUUAUCCCUCUGUAACCUGGGAAAGUAGAAGGCAUGUAAGUCACACCAAAUACCACUCAAAGUAACAGCAGUCCCAUUUUGGGGGAAUGAAGAUGCAAUACUUAAGUGUGUUGUAUUACUACUACCUUUUAAUCAACUAAUGUGAGAUUCUUGCCUCCUUGGAAACUUGGUGGCUGAUAUAACUCCAUGCUUUUCCUUUUCUGUUUAUAUGCAAGUAUUUUUAUUGUUCCAAAGCUUUGCCACGUCUUUUCAGUUUUGUGAAUUUGGGAGUAUGAACAAUCUUGUCACUUUUCUUUAGCUGCUUUAGAACAUUGACCAAGUGCUUAUUUGUACAUUCACAGUCUGAUUUGAUGCAACCUAUGAUUGGGGGAGUGCAAUGGGAAUGUUUUAAUGUUGGUCCAUGGAAAAUUUUUUUGAAUAACUGUAUCACUUGGUUACUGUAGAUGUUGGUUCUCCGGGCAUGUGCACUUCCAUUUGUACAGUUCUACACUUCUGUGUGCUUUCUUUGUAAAUACUUGUGGUCAAUGAUGUAAUGUUAGAGACUUAUAAAGGCAGCCUCUUCUUCUCUCUAUAUAUCUGGAACCUUCAAUUGCUGUACUAUACUUAAAAAGAUGACUGAUGCAAAUUUUUCAACUUGUACUUGGUUGUGGGCAGUCCUUGCCCUUCCAUUAUAGUUGAAUCCCACCAUCACCUGCUGAAAAUAUAGUUAGAAUGUCUCUAUAAACCUGUGUAUUGGUAACAGAUAUCAGAACACCUCAUUUGUAUUACCACUGUAUUUGUGUACUUUAAUAAUUGUGUAAAUAAAUUCAUAAGAACUUCUAAA